UACGAAGGGGGCUAGCGUUGCUCGGAAUCACUGGGCGUAAAGGGUGCGUAGGCGGGUCUUUAAGUCAGGGGUGAAAUCCUGGAGCUCAACUCCAGAACUGCCUUCGAUACUGGCGAUCUCGAGUUCGGGAGAGGUGAGUGGAACUGCGAGUGUAGAGGUGAAAUUCGUAGAUAUUUGCAAGAACACCAGUGGCGAAGGCGGCUCACUGGCCCGAUACUGACGCUGAGGUGCGAAAGCGUGGGGAGCAAACAGG
RNAcentral lists this ribosomal RNA (253 nucleotides) under uncultured bacterium. RNAcentral's name for it is "partial 16S ribosomal RNA". It matches the Rfam family "Bacterial small subunit ribosomal RNA", at positions 524 to 776 of the family's 1533-position model. The record is from RNAcentral.